GAUGAAGAACGCAGCGAAAUGCGAUAAGUAAUGCGAAUUGCAGAAUUCAGUGAGUCAUCGAAUCUUUGAACGCACAUUGCGCCCUGUGGUAUUCCGCAGGGCAUGCCUGUUCGAGCGUCAUUUCAACCCUCAAGCCCCGCUUGGUGUUGGGCCCCGCCCGCCGUGGCCGGCCCUAAAGACAGUGGCGGCCCCGCCUGGCCCUCAGCGUAGUACAGCUCUCGCUCCAGGGUCCGGCGGCCGCCUGCCAGAACCCCCCCAACUCUGUGGUUGACCUCGGAUCAGGUAGGGAUACCCGCUGAACUUAAGCAUAUCAAUAAGCGGAGGA
This 325-nucleotide unclassified non-coding RNA is filed under the name soil metagenome. RNAcentral's name for it is "partial contains 5.8S ribosomal RNA, internal transcribed spacer 2, and large subunit ribosomal RNA". The stretch from base 1 to 120 matches the Rfam family "5.8S ribosomal RNA", at positions 35 to 154 of the family's 154-position model. The record is from RNAcentral.